GGUAUUUCUGAUCGGUAACUAAAAUACUAAUUUCCUCCAGAAAACAGAGGACAAAAGGAGUGUCCAGAAUGUGUCUCUGAAGGUCUACUUCUACUUCUUGCCAAGGGCUGGUGCACUACUGAAAUUUAAGAAAAAUCUUAAAAGAUUUAGACUGCAAUUUCUGAAACUGAAGCAUUAUUGUACAGAAAUUGUAUUAUCUGAAGUAUUACUAUAUAGAAAUUUACCUCCUUAAUGCAAUUUGUCUACUUUUUCUCCAAACAUCACAAAAGCAAAUUAAAAUUUAUAUACACCAAAAUAUUUUACAAAAGAUUUUAAACUACUCUGUUACUUGAGAAAAGAUUCUGGCAGCGCUGAUGGAAUUUGCUUUAUGUACUGCUAUGGUUUAUACUUUUUCAUUGUAUAAUUUGUUUUAUUUCAACUGCAACUCAACAGGAUCACAAAGGAAAGUAUGAAUAAACAUGAAUUUGAGAUGUUGCAACUGAGCACAGGAGUGUAAUGAUGUUAAAUUCUUCCCUACAAAUCAGCUUCUUGCAAGAAGCUUUAAAUGUCUGAUUUCCUCCACAGAACUCAAACCAAACCACUGAUGUUACUAAAAAUGAGUAGCUUGCCUGCAUAUGUCCCUUACAGCAUCAUUCUCUUAUAAUUGAUUUGUACAACACAAAAGCCAGUACAAAAGGUUGCACAGAAAGGAGUUUGCUCUUACCCUACCUAAGCAGCUCCCACAAAAGCUGCCACUGAAACUUCUCUCAAUGCACGCCAGAGAUUUCUACAUUGUGAAAGCUAAGGAAUUUGACUGCAUGGUUUUUAAAGAAACCAACAGGAUCAUCAGUUUUAUAUGAUUACAUUUUUGCCUGCUGAUAUUCAUCGAUUCUUGAAAGGAAAUGAAAGCAAUAUAAAAAGACAGGAGUUACACUGAACCAGUAGUGUUUUACUUUUCUCAUGCUUGUGAAUGCAGAUUCCAAUUAAAAAGCGAUGAUGGUUAGAGCUUUUGUAUCUUAUUUUCCCUUCCAAUUUGUGAAAUAUAGUUAGAUAGAGCACUAAAAUAAGGAUGAAGAGAGAAGGAUAGAGGUAGCAAGGCAUCUAAAUGUAUAUCUAAAUAUAACCAAGAUUGUUUAUGUCAAUGAGCUCUCCAAAAGGAUAAGCAUGUGUUCAUGUGACUUUCUCAGUCAGGGAGAUGGUUCGCAAUGCUCCCUCGUGCAUUGUAUGCUUUAUUGUUCAUAUUUCAAAGGCCUUUUUUUCAAGAUUCUAAACAAAUAAAUCAAAAGUUAAGUUAUUAUCCCAGUUGUAGAAAUGGAGAAAUUGAAGUAUUGAAGUAUUGAAGUUGUUUACUAUUAGGGAUAGGAUUAGAUUUCAUGUCAUCAUUCUAAAUCUUGCAUCCAGUCUUCUAGCACUGACUACCUACCAUAAUGUGACACACGUUCAUGUGUUUGGUUUUAAGUGAUUAAUACCCAGGGAAGAGCAAUUGCCUGAAUAUCAGGCAAAUGACUAAAAAUUUCUUAAGGAUAACUCAACAUUGAAGAUAAAAGACCUAACAUUUCAUGUUACAAUUCUCAUCUUUACUGUUUCUCAGGCAUGCUCUGAUUCAUCUCUGCAGAAUACUUCAUAUACUGUAGUUUAACUUUACAUUUCUAUCAUGAUACCAAAAUUUUUCCAAAACAGCCAUUUCCCUACACACUGAGUAUUGCUAGCUCUUAAAUCAAAUGUAUACUGUCUGCUUCCAUCCCUGCUCUCUGUCUCAAUUAUUAUUUUUCUGAAGAUAAGAAAAUCCCAUUUUUACCACUGGAGAGCCAGGCUGCUUAGGUCACAAGAUUCUCUUGGCUUAAUCCUUGAGUAUGAAUCAUGAACUUUCCCUAAUAAGUACUGGCAUUCUUCAGAUGAUCAAGCUAGCUUACUAAGGCUUCCAGAGCUUUCCACAUUAAUUAUCACCAUGUUUGAAGUAUCAAAAGCAGUAGCUGAUUAAGAAUUAUUAAGACUAUAAGUUGUUUAUUCUUACUUUUUGUUUCUGUCCUCUAUUUCUCACUCUUAUGUGGGUUGAUACUGUAAAUGGCAAUAAUACAACCCAGUUAAAAGAAAACAAAAUGUGAAAAAGAAUACGAAAAAGAUAAAUCAGAUGGAAAAAAUCAAUGUGAAAAAUUGGAAACAAAGUAAGUUGCUUUCUACACUACAUGGCUCAAAAGUAAGCUAUAAACGCCUACGACUCUAGUUCAGAAAAAGCUUUUUUUUCUCACAUUUAAUAUCAGAAAAUUGUGACAUAACCAGACUAAUAGUAAGCCUGUACUCUGCAAAUUACUUAUAACCCCUGCAAAAGAAUCAUACACUCUACUGAGAAGUCAUAGUAAAUGCGAUGUGAUUAAGUAAGAGUUCUGCUAAGAAAUAAAUAAAAUGAAGUCCCUAAAAAGAAACAAGAAACUAUUUCUUAACACUUGAAAGUGGGAACAGAAUAUUCACUCUAGAUUCAGAGUACAGGAAAUUGCUAAGACUGGACUCUACUAAGUACUUUAAAUCUGGAAACAUGAAGAUCCCGGGCACUUCAGGAAAGAUUUUAUAUUCAUGCAGCAAAUUUAGAUACUAAAGCUAGCAAAAGUAGAACAAAUAUGAACCUAUUCAGUUUAGCUACCAAAAAUAUUUUUGUAUCUUUUACCAGGAUUAGCACAUCUAAAUAAAGAUGCAAGUAAAUUCCUCAAACGGUAUUUUAAGUGUGGCAGAGUGUGACAGGAUAAAAGUAUAUUUAAUGUUUGCAAAAAUAAGUAGGUUUGUACUUAACUGGCAGUUAAUUAAAAAAUGUGUGUCUAUGGGUCCAUUAUACAUGUAUGAAUAACAGGACACACCCAAGUCAUAGUCAAAAUCAUUUGGGAACUUUUAUGAAGACAACAAAUAUUUUUACAAUAGCAGCGAUUAAGCCUGAAUAUAAAAGCAGAAAGCUCUGAGAGGAAAUCAGAAGUGAGUCAAAAUCACUAGUGGUUACUCUCAUAUUUAUCAUCAGAAGUGAGUCAAAAUCACCAGGCGUUACUCUCACAUUUAUCAUUAUAUAAACUGUAGUAUAAGAAUGCAGUCAAGAGGAAAAGAAGAAACAAGAUGAAAAGAGCAAAUCCAAGACACAUCUUCAGUAUUAUUUCCAAAGCUGACAAGUUCAAGAAAAAUACUACGAGUAGUAUUAAAUAGAAAAGGCUUCUUUGAGCUCUCAAAAGAAUGAGUUCUCAAAAAAGAACUAAAACCAGUGAAAUAACAUUGCAGUUUAUGUUUCUCAGAAAUACAAGAAUCCUUUGAAAUCAAAUUUAGAUACUGUAUUUAGAUAUUUACAAAUUUAAAAAAUACACAAAAAUAUCUUAAAGGUUCAGUACAGUCCUUUUUUGAGGCAUGAUCUAGUGAUACACUUGAGCAAGUGAGUAGCUGAACCUGAGUCUUGCUUCCAAGAAUUUCCAUAAUUUAGCACCCAAGUUCAGGAAAUGACUUGAAGUCAUACCAACCUGAUUCAGUAAACUAUUUGAAGACACAGCAUACUAAGCAUUGAAUUUCAUAUUUGCUAUGUACUUUACCACAUAAACAGAAUCUUUCUCCAGAAUGAAGGUCUCUGCAGAAAGAGUAAAACAUCCUCUAAUUCUAUUAACUAUUUUUCUAACUAAGUACAGAAUACAAAAGUUGGGUAGAAGAUCUAGAAUGGAUUGGUAGAGAUCUAUGUCAUCCCUGUCUUAAAAAAAAAAAAGAAAAAAAAGUUUCAUACAGGAGUAGUCUUACUCAAACUUUAUUUAUUAGAGAUAAGCUCAAGUCACUUAAGUGAAAGCUAGACAUACACAAGCAACACUUCUGGAAGAAAACUUUAAUGUAUUAUUUCCAGACUUGGUGAAAAACACUGCGAAGUCUUACAAACACUUCAUAACACCAUGCAAAAAUUUAACCUAAAAUUUAGGCUACUGCUGUGAUGAGCAUUUAGAGGAGAAGUUUAACAUUUUUCAGAAGCUGUACUAUUUGAUCGUUAACUCUUUUUGUCCUGUUCCUCAUUACAUCUGAAAAUAUUUUAAUUUGCUUUGUUUUUAUGGAAGUGUACAGAUGUGCAGAAAGCCUGUUUAACAAUUCAU
This is a long non-coding RNA of Haliaeetus leucocephalus (bald eagle), 4076 nucleotides long. RefSeq lists it as uncharacterized. NCBI's taxonomy places the organism in Eukaryota, Metazoa, Chordata, Aves, Accipitriformes, Accipitridae. The record is from RefSeq and is a predicted model, not a curated record. The transcript has 2 exons.